RNAcentral lists this long non-coding RNA (1157 nucleotides) under Canis lupus familiaris (dog). RNAcentral's name for it is "lncRNA (ENSCAFG00805013623.1, ENSCAFG00845028071.1)". The record is from RNAcentral. Lineage: Eukaryota; Metazoa; Chordata; Mammalia; Carnivora; Canidae.
GCGAGAACAUCAUGAAAGCCUGUCUGAGCCAACACAAUUUUUAUUUUUACUCUGAGCUUGUGUGUUUCCUGCUUCGUUGGUGAUAGAAUCACCUUUUUUUAAUGAAAAGAUGGUAAUGGCAGUGUUCUUUUUUUUUUUUAAACAUUCUUUCUUGGCAAAUUAAAGUGUUGGAAACUCUUUGUCAAUUCCUUGAAAUUUGUUGAAGCUGGUCUGUGAAAUCUAGGAGUCUGGGAUGUCUGCUCUAGGAAACAUCUUGUGGCAUUCUGUAGGCGGAAGCGGUACGGUGCAGUAGGAAGUGUGGGCACCUCAGCCAUCCUCUGUCGCAGACACACUGGGUGACGUCACUCAGGGAAAUUCUAUUUCUGGGUUUCACUUUUCUAGCCUCUAAAAUGAGGAGAGCGGUUUAAAAGGAGCCUGAAUCCAUGAAGGCGCACAGGACAAAGAGAGUACACAGGUAGGGUAGAGUCAAUAAGUCGAGCAGACCUGGCCACAAGGAGGGACAGGACCCCCAGAGCUGGGCCAUGUGGCUCUUAAUAAAAGGAGAGCUCUAGUCAGCAACAUGGUCACCACACAGGAAAGAAAUCCUGAGGUUACGGUCACCUCCUUGAACUUUUCAAGAAAAAAGCAGAAAUUGUGGCUCCCUGUUUGUAAACAGUCAAAACGACACUGUGUAGCCCACAAAACACAUGGGUGGGCUGGGUUCAGCUACAGAGUGAUAUGUUUGUUUCCUAGGGCUGCCAUAACAAAUUACCACACACUGGGUGGCUUAAAACAGCAGAAAUUCAUUCUUUCCCAAGUUUUGGAGGCCAGAAGUUUGAAAUCAAAGUGUUGAUAGGCCCAUGCUCCCUCCAAAGGCUCUAGGGGAGGAUCCUUCUUUACCUCUUCCAGUUUCCACCAUUCCUUGGCGUUCCUUGGCUUGCCGCUACAUCACUCCAACCUCUGCCUCUUCUUUGCCUGGCCUACUCUAUACGUCUGUGUCUUCUCCUCUUCUCAAAAAGGCCUGCUGUAGGAUUUAGGGUCCCUCCUAAUCUAGGGUGACCUCAUCUCUGAUUGAUUAUAUCUGCCAAGACCCUAUUCCCAACUAAGAUCAUAUUCACAGGAACCACCAGUUAGAACUUGGUCAUAUCUUUUAGUGGAUUUGAUUCAACACUCUACAA